UCAAACAACUUAGACCAAAACUUUUAAAUUGGUUUUUGCUAGAUAUACAUGCAAGUAUCCGCA
RNAcentral lists this ribosomal RNA (63 nucleotides) under Gallus gallus (chicken). RNAcentral's name for it is "partial 12S ribosomal RNA". Lineage: Eukaryota; Metazoa; Chordata; Aves; Galliformes; Phasianidae. The record is from RNAcentral.